AUUGAACGCUGGCGGCAGGCCUAACACAUGCAAGUCGAACGGUAACAGAAAGCAGCUUGCUGCUUUGCUGACGAGUGGCGGACGGGUGAGUAAUGUCUGGGAAACUGCCUGAUGGAGGGGGAUAACUACUGGAAACGGUAGCUAAUACCGCAUAACGUCGCAAGACCAAAGAGGGGGACCUUCGGGCCUCUUGCCAUCGGAUGUGCCCAGAUGGGAUUAGCUAGUAGGUGGGGUAACGGCUCACCUAGGCGACGAUCCCUAGCUGGUCUGAGAGGAUGUCCAGCCACACUGGAACUGAGACACGGUCCAGACUCCUACGGGAGGCAGCAGUGGGGAAUAUUGCACAAUGGGCGCAAGCCUGAUGCAGCCAUGCCGCGUGUAUGAAGAAGGCCUUCGGGUUGUAAAGUACUUUCAGCGGGGAGGAAGGGAGUAAAGUUAAUACCUUUGCUCAUUGACGUUACCCGCAGAAGAAGCACCGGCUAACUCCGUG
RNAcentral lists this ribosomal RNA (490 nucleotides) under uncultured bacterium. RNAcentral describes it as "partial 16S ribosomal RNA". It matches the Rfam family "Bacterial small subunit ribosomal RNA", at positions 30 to 507 of the family's 1533-position model. The record is from RNAcentral.